CAGAGUUCAUGCCCUCGCGGGUAGAUCUCCCACCCUUGCGUAUUCAUACCUUUGUUGCUUUGGCAAGGCCGCCUGGGCUCAUGCCCGGCCACCGGCUCUCGGGCUGGUGCGUGCCUGCCAGAGGAUCUCCAAACUCCAGUUUAUCAGUGUUGUCUGAGUCUUAAACAAUCGUUA
This 174-nucleotide unclassified non-coding RNA is filed under the name soil metagenome. RNAcentral describes it as "partial internal transcribed spacer 1". The record is from RNAcentral.